AUCCGUUGUAGUCUAGUUGGUCAGGAUAUUCGGCUCUCACCCGAAAGACCCGGGUUCAAGUCCCGGCAACGGAAAUUA
Molecule: transfer RNA, 78 nt
Filed under: Medicago truncatula (barrel medic)
Lineage: Eukaryota; Viridiplantae; Streptophyta; Magnoliopsida; Fabales; Fabaceae
Description: tRNA gene38716
Rfam family: tRNA
About the family: Transfer RNA (tRNA) molecules are approximately 80 nucleotides in length. Their secondary structure includes four short double-helical elements and three loops (D, anti-codon, and T loops).
Source: RNAcentral